UUUAUGGAGAGUUUGAUCCUGGCUCAGGAUGAACGCUGGCGGCGUGCCUAAUACAUGCAAGUCGAGCGAACGGACGAGAAGCUUGCUUCUCUGAUGUUAGCGGCGGACGGGUGAGUAACACGUGGAUAACCUACCUAUAAGACUGGGAUAACUUCGGGAAACCGGAGCUAAUACCGGAUGAUAUUUUGAACCGCAUGGUUCAAAAGUGAAAGACGGUCUUGCUGUCACUUAUAGAUGGAUCCGCGCUGCAUUAGCUAGUUGGUAAGGUAACGGCUUACCAAGGCAACGAUGCAUAGCCGACCUGAGAGGGUGAUCGGCCACACUGGAACUGAGACACGGUCCAGACUCCUACGGGAGGCAGCAGUAGGGAAUCUUCCGCAAUGGGCGAAAGCCUGACGGAGCAACGCCGCGUGAGUGAUGAAGGUCUUCGGAUCGUAAAACUCUGUUAUUAGGGAAGAACAUAUGUGUAAGUAACUGUGCACAUUUUGACGGUACCUAAUCAGAAAGCCACGGCUAACUACGUGCCAGCAGCCGCGGUAAUACGUAGGUGGCAAGCGUUAUCCGGAAUUAUUGGGCGUAAAGCGCGCGUAGGCGGUUUUUUAAGUCUGAUGUGAAAGCCCACGGCUCAACCGUGGAGGGUCAUUGGAAACUGGAAAACUUGAGUGCAGAAGAGGAAAGUGGAAUUCCAUGUGUAGCGGUGAAAUGCGCAGAGAUAUGGAGGAACACCAGUGGCGAAGGCGACUUUCUGGUCUGUAACUGACGCUGAUGUGCGAAAGCGUGGGGAUCAAACAGGAUUAGAUACCCUGGUAGUCCACGCCGUAAACGAUGAGUGCUAAGUGUUAGGGGGUUUCCGCCCCUUAGUGCUGCAGCUAACGCAUUAAGCACUCCGCCUGGGGAGUACGACCGCAAGGUUGAAACUCAAAGGAAUUGACGGGGACCCGCACAAGCGGUGGAGCAUGUGGUUUAAUUCGAAGCAACGCGAAGAACCUUACCAAAUCUUGACAUCCUUUGACAACUCUAGAGAUAGAGCCUUCCCCUUCGGGGGACAAAGUGACAGGUGGUGCAUGGUUGUCGUCAGCUCGUGUCGUGAGAUGUUGGGUUAAGUCCCGCAACGAGCGCAACCCUUAAGCUUAGUUGCCAUCAUUAAGUUGGGCACUCUAAGUUGACUGCCGGUGACAAACCGGAGGAAGGUGGGGAUGACGUCAAAUCAUCAUGCCCCUUAUGAUUUGGGCUACACACGUGCUACAAUGGACAAUACAAAGGGCAGCGAAACCGCGAGGUCAAGCAAAUCCCAUAAAGUUGUUCUCAGUUCGGAUUGUAGUCUGCAACUCGACUACAUGAAGCUGGAAUCGCUAGUAAUCGUAGAUCAGCAUGCUACGGUGAAUACGUUCCCGGGUCUUGUACACACCGCCCGUCACACCACGAGAGUUUGUAACACCCGAAGCCGGUGGAGUAACCUUUUAGGAGCUAGCCGUCGAAGGUGGGACAAAUGAUUGGGGUGAAGUCGUAACAAGGUAGCCGUAUCGGAAGGUGCGGCUGGAUCACCUCCUUUCU
This 1554-nucleotide ribosomal RNA is filed under the name Staphylococcus aureus. RNAcentral describes it as "16S ribosomal RNA". It matches the Rfam family "Bacterial small subunit ribosomal RNA". Lineage: Bacteria; Bacillati; Bacillota; Bacilli; Caryophanales; Staphylococcaceae. The record is from RNAcentral.